AAUGAUACCCGGGUAGUCCAUGCCGUAAACGUUGGGAACUAGGUGUGGGUCUCAUUCCACGAGAUCCGUGCCGCAGCUAACGCAUUAAGUUCCCCGCCUGGGGAGUACGGCCGCAAGGCUAAAACUCAAAGGAAUUGACGGGGGCCCGCACAAGCGGCGGAGCAUGCGGAUUAAUUCGAUGCAACGCGAAGAACCUUACCAAGGCUUGACAUAUACCGGAAACAUCUAGAGAUAGGUGCCCCGCAAGGUCGGUAUACAGGUGGUGCAUGGUUGUCGUCAGCUCGUGUCGUGAGAUGUUGGGUUAAGUCCCGCAACGAGCGCAACCCUCGUUCUAUGUUGCCAGCACGUUAUGGUGGGGACUCAUAGGAGACUGCCGGGGUCAACUCGGAGGAAGGUGGGGAUGACGUCAAAUCAUCAUGCCCCUUAUGUCUUGGGCUUCACGCAUGCUACAAUGGCCGGUACAAAGGGUUGCGAUACUGUGAGGUGGAGCUAAUCCCAAAAAGCCGGUCUCAGUUCGGAUUGGGGUCUGCAACUCCG
RNAcentral lists this ribosomal RNA (537 nucleotides) under uncultured bacterium. RNAcentral's name for it is "bacterial SSU rRNA". It matches the Rfam family "Bacterial small subunit ribosomal RNA", at positions 778 to 1314 of the family's 1533-position model. The record is from RNAcentral.